This 78-nucleotide transfer RNA is filed under the name Lophophorus lhuysii (Chinese monal). RNAcentral's name for it is "tRNA-Trp". It matches the Rfam family "tRNA". From Rfam's summary of the family: Transfer RNA (tRNA) molecules are approximately 80 nucleotides in length. Their secondary structure includes four short double-helical elements and three loops (D, anti-codon, and T loops). The record is from RNAcentral. Lineage: Eukaryota; Metazoa; Chordata; Aves; Galliformes; Phasianidae.
AGAAACUUAGGAUUAAACCCGCCGCCCAAACCAAAGGCCUUCAAAGCCUUAAAUAAGAGUUAACUCUCUUAGUUUCUG